This 506-nucleotide ribosomal RNA is filed under the name uncultured bacterium. RNAcentral describes it as "bacterial SSU rRNA". It matches the Rfam family "Bacterial small subunit ribosomal RNA", at positions 15 to 518 of the family's 1533-position model. The record is from RNAcentral.
GAUUAUGGCUCAGGAUGAACGCUGGCGGCGUGCCUAACACAUGCAAGUCGAACGGGGUUACUGGCAGCGGAGAUUCGGUCAAAGCAGCCUUUAACCUAGUGGCGGACGGGUGAGUAACGCGUGGGGAACCUGCCCUGUACUGGGGGAUAACAGUGAGAAAUCACUGCUAAUACCGCAUAAGCGCACAGCAUCGCAUGAUGCAGUGUGAAAAAACUGAGGUGGUACAGGAUGGCUCCGCGUUGGAUUAGCCAGUUGGCGGGGUAACGGCCCACCAAAGCGACGAUCCAUAGCCGGCCUGAGAGGGUGAACGGCCACAUUGGGACUGAGACACGGCCCAGACUCCUACGGGAGGCAGCAGUGGGGAAUAUUGCACAAUGGGGGAAACCCUGAUGCAGCCGACGCCGCGUGAAGGAAGAAGUAUCUCGGUAUGUAAACUUCUAUCAGCAGGGAAGAUGUAUGACGGUACCUGACUAAGAAGCCCCGGCUAACUACGUGCCAGCAGCCGC